GGGCAGGUACCCAAGCGGCCAAAGGGGACUGACUGUAAAUCAGUUGGCUCAGCCUUCGGAGGUUCGAAUCCUUCCCUGCCCACCA
Molecule: transfer RNA, 85 nt
Filed under: Anaerolineae bacterium
Lineage: Bacteria; Bacillati; Chloroflexota; Anaerolineae
Description: tRNA-Tyr
Rfam family: tRNA
About the family: Transfer RNA (tRNA) molecules are approximately 80 nucleotides in length.
Source: RNAcentral